RNAcentral lists this long non-coding RNA (6990 nucleotides) under Salvia miltiorrhiza (redroot sage). RNAcentral's name for it is "long non-coding RNA (SMIL_LNC004841)". The record is from RNAcentral. Lineage: Eukaryota; Viridiplantae; Streptophyta; Magnoliopsida; Lamiales; Lamiaceae.
UUAACUUCUCUCUCUUAUCUCCUCACGCUCACAUACAUCUAUAUUCUCUCUCUGCGUUCCUUCUCUCUCUCUCUCUCAACUCUGUCGUCCUCUUUCUCUCUCCCUGUCUCCGGUGAGCGUCGCCGGCCUUCGCCGCCUCCGGCGCGGCGAGGUCGGCCUCUCCUCUCCCCCUUCCUUUCUUUCCAUUUCUCCUUUCCCUAUGUGUCAAUCCCCAAAUUAUAAAAUCAAAAUCCCCGCCGUCGUCUCUGUCACGCCGCCGCCUCUUCUGACUCCGGUAAGUCCCUGUCUCUCUCUCUACUUCUAUCUCUGCUUUCUCCCUCGAACUCCCUCUUUCUCUGCCCUUUCUCGAUCUCUCGCUCUCUCUCUCUGUCCAGGGCGCGGCGGCCGCCGCAAGCCACGACAGCGCUUGCAGCGCCGGUGCUCGCUGCCGCCUGCCCCGCUCCUCUCUCCCUCUAGCUCGUUCUGCCUUUGUCCCUUCUUCAUGCUGUCUGUCUCUAUCUCACUAUCUCUCACUCAAUCUCCCUCUUUCUUUCGACUGUCGGCAGCCACCGCGGCCGCCGUGGCGCGGGCAGCGCCGGCGGCCACCACCGCCAGCCAUGCCUCCGUUGUGAUGGCUUGCGGCUGCUGCUGCUACUGCUAAUCCCCCCUCUCCUUCUUCCUUCCCUCUUCUCUAUUUCCCAAUUCAAAAUCUCAUUCCAGCAAACUUCUAAUUAAUUUCUAUUUCAGUUUCAACAUCACAAACUAAUAAAUCUCAAAUUAUUUUCUGUUUCAGGAAUCGACCGGCGUCGUCGUUGCUUGAGACGUCUCCGGCGCAACAGUCCUUUAUCAGCUCAAGAUCCUAUUUUUAUGAUUGUUUUCCUUGUUGCUUACUGGAAAGCUAAAGUUUUGAUAGAAGAAAGUAUACUGUUGUUAGUUAUGCUAUACUUAACUUGUUUGUUGUAGUUAGGUCCAUCUUUCCUAUUGCUAAAAGCAUUCUGUACAUGUAUUGAACAAAGAAAAACUACCUUCUUUGUUGUGAACUGCUGCGGGGAUGUUUGUNGUUUUCCUUGUUGCUUACUGGAAAGCUAAAGUUUUGAUAGAAGAAAGUAUACUGUUGUUAGUUAUGCUAUACUUAACUUGUUUGUUGUAGUUAGGUCCAUCUUUCCUAUUGCUAAAAGCAUUCUGUACAUGUAUUGAACAAAAGAAAAACUACCUUCUUUGUUGUGAACUGCUGCGGGGAUGUUUGUAUUCUGAUGAAUAUUUGUUUGCUGUUGGGAAUUUGCAGAAUGGGGGAAAAUUGGUGUCACGCUCAACUCCUCUUUUCUUAUACUGUUUUAAGUCAGCAGAAUGGGAAGAAUGAGUCACGUAUGCUACGUGUUUUUUUAAGGAUCAGAUAUGAUCUAAUGAGUUUUAUAUAAUCAGUAAAUCUUAUAGAAAUUAACUGGUUUGGCAUUCCUACUAUCAUUAUCAACUAUUGACCCAAAACAGCUAUUGGGCUCAGUUAAAAACUGAAGCUAUUGGGCUCAGUUAAAAACUAGAUUCAUAUAUAUAGAUACUGGGCUUUGGUUUCCAAAUAAGAAUACUGGCCCAACAAUAACAUUAUUGUGCCUAUUCUAAAAUAAAACUCUUAGCCCAAUUAAAAGGUUUAUUGGGAUUCAUAAAAGAAAAUAACCUAGUUUACUUAAUCAAUUAACUCUACAUAUAGAAGCUGAAUUACUACAGUCCUCUAUUUGACGAUUAUCUAUAUUAGAAUCUAAUAUAGAAAUUUAAUUAUAUAAUCAACAAUAGUAUAAAUACGGUGGGGCUAUUACAUCCUCUCCCCCUUAAAGAAAUUUCGUCCUCGAAAUUUGACUAGAUCAGAAAAUAAUUCGAGAGUUCUUUUUCAUAUCGAAUUUAUGUACUCCUCCAGAAUGUGGAAUAUUAAGAAAAACGUUAUCGCCUACUUCAGAAAUUCAAUCAAAUCAACGAGUAUCUGCAAAAGUUUAUGUCGCUCUUCAGGUUCUUUGAGCAAUUGUCGAAUUUGUCGGAUAAGCGUAAUCAUUUCUUCAACUGCAUUAGGUCUUAACACUUUUCUUUCAACUACCUCAUCCUAACAGUGUGGGGACUUAAUGAGUGACAAGGUUUGUUCUCAACCCGUUCUUCGAUCUAGUACAAUAGUCUAUAUCAUAUCAUCCAAGAUCUAAAUAGUUCUCUUAGAUUGUCCAUCUGCUGUUUGUGGAUGAAAGGCUGUUUGAAAAUUUGGUCGAGUUCCUAAAAAUGAAAAAUCAUAUGAAAUAUGUGCUGAUAUAUCAAAAAGGGACAUGAAACUUUAGGCUGCAAGAACUGGAUUAUCCAACAAACAAGUUGGAACUAGCAGCAAUGAUAUUAUGGAACAAAGUGUGAAAUUUAGACAAAUUACAAAAGUUUAAAAUGCUUAUUCGAGCAAAAGAUCUAAAUAUAAGGCAAAAGAUAGCUCGAAUUAAUAAAAGAUUAUGAUUGUGAAUAAAUUAGCAUCCACGAAAAGCCAAUAAAGUGUGGAUGCUUUGAGUAGAAAAAUUUAAGUUAACUAAGGAUUUCUCCUUACCCAUGAAGAAAAAUUCUCAUCAAGGAUUUGAAAGUUUAAUUUACAAAUGGUUCUACCACAGCAAACCAUAGAAGCUGUAAUUCCAAUGUUAACAAUAAAUCAUGAUUUGAGAAUCAAAAUUCUUACAGUAACAAGAGAAGAUGAAAGAUAGAAAAAUUACGGGUAAGGAAUAGAAGGGAUUGAUAAUUAUCAAGAAGCUCGGGGUAAAGUUAUCUUGUUUGAGAAAAGAUUAUGUAUACUCAACAAAGAAUAGUUGAGAAAUGAAAUCAUAAGUGAAGCUCAUGUAUGCUAGAUACUGCAUACCCAAAAAUACUAAAAUGUAUCAAGAUCUCAAACAAAACUUUGGUGGGAAAAAAAAAUUGGAAAUGAGAUAUAGCUUUGGUUGUAGAAAAAUGUUUGGCUUGCCAACAAGUAAGGCACUACCUCGAAAAUCCUAUGAGAAGUUACAACCAUUAUCUAUGUCAAUCUUAUAAGGCGCAUAUCGAGAUACGUCACAAAACUCUCAAUCAUACUCAGCUACUUCCUUGCUUUAAAUUGCUAAAUUUCGUCUCCUUUUUACCGACGAUAGUUUCUGAAAACAAAUUCUUCAAAAAUACUUCUGUGAACUAACCCCAAAUAAGAUUCUCUAAUCGCUCGAGGAUAGAUAUCUUUUGCUUCGUCUCCCACUCAUAGUCAGUCGAUCCUUGUAGUUGAAAUAACAUACAAGAAGACACUCUUGAUCAUUGCAUCUAUGGAAGCGAAACUCGCGAAAUUCUACUAUAAACAAGGGAAUUUUGACUAUGAAAAACUCCCGAAAUUCUUCUUUCGAGUUGAUGGGGAGGAGUAGGUCUCUAAAUUAUUCGCAUGGCAGAUGGCAGAUUUCCAUUGCUUCUUUGAAACAUCGUGCCGAGUAAAUACACAAAAUUCUCAAAAUUGAGCUUUUAUCCCAUCAGUAAAGCAAUCACUGCUACUUAGCUAUAAAUCAACUAAGUUAUAAAACUAAUGCCCAAAAAUUAAACCAUCUAAGCAAUUAAAGCUCAACGGCCUAGUAAAUGACCACUUUGAUCAUUUCAUAUCAUGAGAAAAUUUGUCUCAACGAAUUCUCAUACAAAAGAUGAGAAUAUACGUUGCAAAAGCUCUUAGUACUAAUUGCGAUGUCCUAACUGCAUAACAUCACUACUAGUAUUAGGUUACAGUGCCACUGACAUAACUCGCUACUGUAUCCUCAAACUGUCUAUAUCUGCAUCCAUCCAAUGUAUAGAUAUACGUACACACCAUCAUCUAAAAGAUUUUCAUUGCUAUAUAACAAAUGAAAAUCCCCCACAUAUCAAGAUACAAGUAUUAAAAUAUGAACAACACUUUAUCCGUUUAAGAACUUCAUACUAGUAGAGGAUACUCAUAAAUAACACAUGUUGUCCAUACUCGCUCAUUUUAAAAUAUAUAAGUUUCCUUCAUACUAAUACUUGCAAAACUGCAACUCAUAUCUCAAACUUGUUUAAAAAUGUAACAUACUACUUUAAAACUCUGAAAAUCCGUACCUGGCUUGGCUAGGCUGGAUGAGAUGGAGCGCAGAGCUUUUACUAUAUUACACAUACUAGUCCAAAGAUUCAAAAUUAGACUAAAGGGAAUAUUUAGGCUCAGAGCAAAUGACCUGCUCUGAUACCACUUUGUCACAACCCGACCUAAGCUAGUGAAUAGUUAAGUCGGGAAAAAGUGUGACUGAAAACGAAGUAAGAAAAUGAAAAAGAAAAUAGAUUUCAAUAAAAAUCACUAACCUGCUUAAACAAUAAUUUACCAAAAUAUUUGGUAAUUAUAAACAAUCUUUUCUAAAGCUCAAAGCAGACAACUCACAAUACAUAACGACAAGUUGUCAAAUUUUCAAGUGACAUAAUUCUCAAAGCUAUUAGUUUGAAAUCUUUGCAACACAUCAAUAAAGUAAAACGCACUAAGCGUUGCAGCGGAAUAGCUUAAGUGGAUUACAUGUAUGAAGACAUGGAAUCCUGAGCCUAAUUUAGUACUUAUAUAUCAAAAGCUUUUGCUCUGCUCGCCUCCAUCUGCAUCACCAGCUUAACCUGCAUAUUUAGAAAACAUAUGCAGGGCUGAGUACUAAAAAGGUACUCAAUGGUCACAUGCCGAAAUAACUUGAAAGCUUGCUCUUAGAGCUAUAUAUUGAACUUGCCAUUUCACGCAUCACACAAGAGUUUUAUUUAAAUAACAUGUGCAUGCAAAAAUGUAAAACUUCUCUGUAAUCAUCAUAUGCGUCUGCAGACAUACUUCUUUGUACUCUACCAUAUCUGCAAUGAUAAUUGUGUGCCGAGAAGGUGGCCACCUUCUACGGUCACUGACCGGCCGAUACGCUAAACCGGCUCACGGUCCUAGGCCGGCCGAUAUGCUAGAUCGGCUCACGGUCCCUUGUGUACACUAAUCCUGUCUAACAUCUGGAUAGAACAGGAUCCGAAUUCGAUUAACUUCUGGUGCCAGAUAGGUAUCAUACAAGCUCAUAAAAGUUUUGGCAAGUCAAUAACUUUAAUAUAACAUUACUCAUGUAAACAUCAUUAAAUAAUGUGCACUUCACAUUUGAGUUUAGAAAGCCCACCUGAUCGUGGUCUGACGACACUAGAAAUUCUGAACUAUUGCUUUACCCUUCCUUGUAUCCGACCUUCAGUAUAAAAACUGACUAAUAAAUAAUGAGGAAAAUGAUAUGGACUGAUUUAGACAAUACUUAUGUUGGUUUUAAGGUGAUGGUUUUAUUGAAAAUUAUGGAAUGAAGACUAGUUGUUUGACAACUUAUCAACAAACCAACUUAGACUGAAACUGCAAUAACUAUAACUCUGGCGUUAAUCAAUUCUACUCACACUAAUUUAAAAAUAAAUACUAACGUAGAAUUAUUAUAAAUUCCCUCUUUCUUUUUAAAGAGCUUGAUUCUAAGAUGAUCUAAUAUAGGUUUAACUACUAACUAAAACAAUUAUGUAUUUAAUGCUUUAAUUAACUACUUCUAAGUAUAAAUAAAUAGUUAAUCUGAUUUACAUAAAUUAUUGGGCUCAUAUAAUAAUAAUGCAGUUUGUUUGAAUAAAUUAAAGGUCCAAUUAAAACAAAUCUGGGCCAUUUACAGAAUUAAUCCAAAGCCCAACAUAAUUUAAUUGAUCCAAUAAUUAGUAGCCCAAUUAACUAUUUUUAGACUAAAUAAAUUAAGAAUCCUAUAUUCUCCCCUUUAAUAAAAGGAAUAAAUUAACUUCUCUCUCUUAUCUCCUCACGCUCACAUACAUCUACAUUCUCUCUCUGCGUUCCUUCUCUCUCUCUCUCAACUCUGUCGUCCUCUUUCUCUCUCCCUGUCUCCGGUGAGCGUCGCCGGCCUUCGCCGCCUCCGGCGCGGCGAGGUCGGCCUCUCCUCUCCCCCUUCCUUUCUUUCCAUUUCUCCUUUCCCUAUGUGUCAAUCCCCAAAUUAUAAAAUCAAAAUCCCCGCCGUCGUCUCUGUCGCGCCGUCGCCUCUUCUGACUCCGGUAAGUCCCUGUCUCUCUCUCUACUUCUAUCUCUGCUUUCUCCCUCGAACUCCCUCUUUCUCUGCCCUUUCUCGAUCUCUCGCUCUCUCUCUCUGUCCAGGGCGCGGCGGCCGCCGCAAGCCACGACAGCGCUUGCAGCGCCGGUGCUCGCUGCCGCCUGCCCCGCUCCUCUCUCCCUCUAGCUCGUUCUGCCUUUGUCCCUUCUUCAUGCUGUCUGUCUCUAUCUCACUAUCUCUCACUCAAUCUCCCUCUUUCUUUCGACUGUCGGCAGCCACCGCGGCCGCCGUGGCGCGGGCAGCGCCGGCGGCCACCACCGCCAGCCAUGCCUCCGCUGUGAUGGCUUGCGGCUGCUGCUGCUACUGCUAAUCCCCCCUCUCCUUCUUCCUUCCCUCUUCUCUAUUUCCCAAUUCAAAAUCUCAUUCCAGCAAACUUCCAAUUUAAUUUCUAUUUCAGUUUUAACAUCACAAACUAAUAAAUCUCAAAUUAUUUUCUGUUUCAGGAAUCGACCGGCGUCGUCGUUGCUUGAGACGUCUCCGGCGCAACAGUCCUUUAUCAGCUCAAGAUCCUAUUUUUAUGAUUGUUUUCCUUGUUGCUUACUGGAAAGCUAAAGUUUUGAUAGAAGAAAGUAUACUGUUGUUAGUUAUGCUAUACUUAACUUGUUUGUUGUAGUUAGGUCCAUCUUUCCUAUUGCUAAAAGCAUUCUGUACAUGUAUUGAACAAAAGAAAACUAACCUUCUUGUUGUGAACUGCUGCGGGGAUGUUUGUAUUCUGAUGAAUAUUUGUUUGCUGUUGGGAAUUUGCAGAAUGGGGGAAAAAUGGUGUCACGCUCAACUCCUCUUUUCUUAUACUGUUUUAAGUCGGCAGAAUGGGAAGAAUGAGUCACGUAUGCUACGUGUUUUUUUAAGGAUCAGAUAUGCUCUAAUGAGUUUUAUAUAAUCAAUAAAUCUUAUAGAAAUUAACUGGUUUGGC